Long non-coding RNA from Ziziphus jujuba (common jujube), 567 nucleotides. RefSeq lists it as uncharacterized. The record is from RefSeq and is a predicted model, not a curated record. Lineage: Eukaryota; Viridiplantae; Streptophyta; Magnoliopsida; Rosales; Rhamnaceae. The transcript is spliced from 2 exons.
UAUGAAUACAUUAAAAUUAAGCCUGGUAAAACCAUUUGAAUCACAUUGAAACUAUUCGGUCAUCUAAAAUAACAUCCUGAUUAUAAACAGAUAUUUCAGUUUUCAACCUCUUCGCUCAAAUUAUGAUAACAAUAAUAAAAUAAAUCAUCCUGUUUUUGUAGUUUGAGUUCUCCUCGUACUAAUUUUUAGUAUGCAACACAGGCAAUACACUACAGAAAGGCCAGGUGUUCCCAAAAGAAAAUAUUUGAUUCAGUGAAAAGGACCAAAGCUUCAACUUCGGACCACAUAAUCAUACAGCCGUAAUGAAACUAUGUUAUAUGGUUUAGAACACAAUUUUCCCAUAAGUUACAAAUCACUUAUAUUCCUCUUGGAGUUGGAAGCAAAACCGUAUCUCUGAAGGAAGAGACACUAUAUCGUUUACAAUACGAUUUCCCCUCAAGUUCUGCAAAAUUCUGAAUAUUCAGCAAGCUAUUCACAGCUCACAGCAGGAGUAUACUUCAACAGCAGCUGCAGAGUGGCAGCAUAUAUAGAGGAUGAGAUGAAGUGGGAAUUGAGCACCACCACAAA